This 26-nucleotide non-coding RNA is filed under the name Cricetulus griseus (Chinese hamster). The record is from RNAcentral. Lineage: Eukaryota; Metazoa; Chordata; Mammalia; Rodentia; Cricetidae.
GCUGUGAGCCACCAUGUGGUUGCUGG